GACGAACGCUGGCGGCGUGCCUAAUACAUGCAAGUAAAACGCUGAAGGAGGAGCUUGCUUCUCUGGAUGAGUUGCGAACGGGUGAGUAACGCGUAGGUAACCUGCCUGGUAGCGGGGGAUAACUAUUGGAAACGAUAGCUAAUACCGCAUAAGAGUAGAUGUUGCAUGACAUUUACUUAAAAGGUGCAAUUGCAUCACUACCAGAUGGACCUGCGUUGUAUUAGCUAGUUGGUGAGGUAACGGCUCACCAAGGCAACGAUACAUAGCCGACCUGAGAGGGUGAUCGGCCACACUGGGACUGAGACACGGCCCAGACUCCUACGGGAGGCAGCAGUAGGGAAUCUUCGGCAAUGGACGGAAGUCUGACCGAGCAACGCCGCGUGAGUGAAGAAGGUUUUCGGAUCGUAAAGCUCUGUUGUAAGAGAAGAACGAGUGUGAGAGUGGAAAGUUCACACUGUGACGGUAUCUUACCAGAAAGGGACGGCUAACUACGUG
RNAcentral lists this ribosomal RNA (495 nucleotides) under uncultured bacterium. RNAcentral's name for it is "partial 16S ribosomal RNA". It matches the Rfam family "Bacterial small subunit ribosomal RNA", at positions 28 to 507 of the family's 1533-position model. The record is from RNAcentral.